UACAGAGGGUGCGAGCGUUAAUCGGAGUUACUGGGCGUAAAGGGCGCGUAGGCGGUCAUACAAGUGAGAUGUGAAAUCCCUGGGCUUAACCCGGGAACUGCGUUUCAAACUGUAUGGCUUGAGUACUGUAGAGGGUAGUGGAAUUUCCGGUGUAGCGGUGAAAUGCGUAGAGAUCGGAAGGAACACCAGUGGCGAAGGCGGCUACCUGGACAGAUACUGACGCUGAGGCGCGAAAGCGUGGGGAGCAAACAGG
Molecule: ribosomal RNA, 253 nt
Filed under: uncultured bacterium
Lineage: Bacteria
Description: partial 16S ribosomal RNA
Rfam family: Bacterial small subunit ribosomal RNA
Source: RNAcentral